UGGGGAAUUUUGGACAAUGGGCGAAAGCCUGAUCCAGCAAUGCCGCGUGUGUGAAGAAGGCCUUCGGGUUGUAAAGCACUUUUGUCCGGAAAGAAAUGGCUCUGGUUAAUACCUGGGGUCGAUGACGGUACCGGAAGAAUAAGGACCGGCUAACUACGUGCCAGCAGCCGCGGUAAUACGUAGGGUCCAAGCGUUAAUCGGAAUUACUGGGCGUAAAGCGUGCGCAGGCGGUUGUGCAAGACCGAUGUGAAAUCCCCGAGCUUAACUUGGGAAUUGCAUUGGUGACUGCACGGCUAGAGUGUGUCAGAGGGGGGUAGAAUUCCACGUGUAGCAGUGAAAUGCGUAGAGAUGUGGAGGAAUACCGAUGGCGAAGGCAGCCCCCUGGGAUAAAACUGACGCUCAUGCACGAAAGCGUGGGGAGCAAACAGG
RNAcentral lists this ribosomal RNA (429 nucleotides) under Bacillota bacterium. RNAcentral describes it as "Firmicutes bacterium partial 16S ribosomal RNA". It matches the Rfam family "Bacterial small subunit ribosomal RNA", at positions 355 to 776 of the family's 1533-position model. Lineage: Bacteria; Bacillati; Bacillota. The record is from RNAcentral. RNAcentral also lists the same sequence under 1 other name.